GGCAUGGUGGCUUGGUGGUUAGCACAUUUGCCUCGCACCUUCAGGGCUGUAGGUUCAACUCCUGCCUCUGCCC
Pangasius djambal is the source of this 73-nucleotide non-coding RNA. The record is from the annotation of a GenBank genome assembly. NCBI's taxonomy places the organism in Eukaryota, Metazoa, Chordata, Actinopteri, Siluriformes, Pangasiidae.